RNAcentral lists this unclassified non-coding RNA (371 nucleotides) under uncultured fungus. RNAcentral describes it as "sequence contains ITS1". The stretch from base 1 to 106 matches the Rfam family "5.8S ribosomal RNA", at positions 50 to 154 of the family's 154-position model. Lineage: Eukaryota; Fungi. The record is from RNAcentral.
GAAACGCGAUAUUUAGUGCGAAUUGCAGAAUUCAGUGAAUCAUCAAAAUUUUGAACGCAAGUUGCGCUUCUGGGAUAUUCCUGGGAGCAUGCCUCUUUCAGUGUCGGGUCAAAAUACCAUCAUCUCUGAUGAUGAGUGUCGUGCAUUUCUGCGCUUGCUCGUGGAUCUGUCAAAUCUCACGCACAACUGGUCUCAUUGAUCCAUUGGACGCGCAAUCUUACACCUGGACAGUUUCUGUCUAUCGUGCAAUUGUCGUCAAAACAUGGAUUCAACUGGUUCCGCUAAAGUUGCGCCAACGUCGAGAAGCCUUGUGCCCUCGACACAAACUCAAACAAUGACCUGAGAGAGGUAAGAUUACCCGCUUGACUUAA